RNAcentral lists this long non-coding RNA (1016 nucleotides) under Marmota monax (woodchuck). The record is from RNAcentral. Lineage: Eukaryota; Metazoa; Chordata; Mammalia; Rodentia; Sciuridae.
GGUCACCUGAUAGUUGCAAGUGCAUCCAGAUUGUUGUGAGCUAAGAACUAUUUUAGGGUUUCAAAUUGAUGACUUGGCUAUUGGUGACAGGGAGGACAGGUAGAGAGGGUCAACUCUAGGCCCUCAGAUGGGCUAGGGGGACCAGGAGGCUUCUGAGUGUCCUCCAAGUCUGGGAUAGGUUGGGCUGCCUCUCCCCUGAGGAAGGCUUGAAUAGUGGUUCCAGUAUAGCAGGUGGCCCUAGGCUUGCCAAUAGGUGAGGAUUUGGUAAGAAGUUGUUUUUCCCAAGGCUCUAGAAUCCAGACUUUCCACCAAGAGCUAGUACUGGCCCUCUGCCUCAUCUCCCUCCUUAGCAGUCUAGUGGGGCUGCGGGACUGAGGAAAAAGCAGUAACAUCUGUGUUACUGUCAUCUGGCACCUAGAGUUGUAUACACAGGAUAGACUGACCUGCUUUGGUGGAGAACCAUUAGUCUGGCCAGAGAUACCCAUAUGUCUCAGCCCUAGUAUGUCAGGGAAUUUCCCCAGGGUCCCAAAGGUUCUCUGGGAGUCACAAUUGAGGCCAGGUACAGCCCCACUCCAAGCCCAUUCUCACCAUUGUUCUGUGGACUGGUCCUGUUUUUGUUUUGUUUUGUUUUACUGGGGAUUGAACUCAGGGGUACCACUGAGCCACAUCCCCAGCCCUAUUUUGUAUUUUAUUUAGAGAAAAGGUCUCACUGAGUUGCUUAAUGCCUCACAGUUUCUGAGGCUGGCUUUGAACUUUUGAUUCUCCUGUCUCAGCCUCCCAAGCCACUGGGAUUACAGGCCUGUGACACCAUGCCCAGCACUGGUCCUGUUUUAAACUCAAUUGGAAGUAGUUGAAGGAAGCUGAUGACUCCUUGGUAGGGCUCAGCAUGGGCAGAGGCAGGAGGAUCAGUGAGCACCAGAGCUCCCUAUGCCAGGGGCACCCUUACCUCUCUUCUCUGCUCCCUUUCAGAUUGGUUUAGCCACCUGCACACUCUUGUAGACUGUCGUUGUCUGGGC